Molecule: ribosomal RNA, 474 nt
Filed under: uncultured bacterium
Lineage: Bacteria
Description: bacterial SSU rRNA
Rfam family: Bacterial small subunit ribosomal RNA
Source: RNAcentral
ACGCUGGCGGCGUGCUUAAUACAUGCAAGUCAACUCGACUUUAGAUAGCAAUAUCGAAAGUAGGGUGGCGCACGGGUGCGUAACGCGUAGGUAAUCUGCCCUGAGGUCUGACAUAACCCGUCGAAAGGCGGGCUAACAUCAGAUGAUAUAUAAUCACGACAUCGUGGAAAUAUCAAAUCUUCGGAGCCUUGGGAUGAGCCUGCGUCUGAUUAGGUAGUUGGCGGAGUAAUAGCCCACCAAGCCUACGAUCAGUAGCUGGUCUGAGAGGAUGAUCAGCCACACUGGAACUGAGACACGGUCCAGACUCCUACGGGAGGCAGCAGUAAGGAAUAUUGCUCAAUGGGGGGAAACCCUGAAGCAGCAACGCCGCGUGAAGGAUGAAAUACUUUGUAUGUAAACUUCUGUAAGAUGGGAAAAAUAUUCUCCUCGGGAGAAUUGAUUGUACCAUCAGAGUAAGCCCCGGCUAACUACGUG